Non-coding RNA from Gossypium raimondii (Peruvian cotton), 129 nucleotides. The record is from Rfam. Lineage: Eukaryota; Viridiplantae; Streptophyta; Magnoliopsida; Malvales; Malvaceae.
ACGAAAACAGCCUGUCUAGUUAGCCAAGGUGACUGCCUGGGACCCAAUCAGGGUUUUUGAUGUAUUAAAACCUCGUGAACAUUAGGUGCAGGCAAGUCAUCCUUGGCUACCAAACAAGACUCUUUAUCU